RNAcentral lists this non-coding RNA (222 nucleotides) under Myotis davidii. RNAcentral's name for it is "Eukaryotic large subunit ribosomal RNA". It matches the Rfam family "Eukaryotic large subunit ribosomal RNA", at positions 222 to 450 of the family's 3401-position model. The record is from Rfam by way of RNAcentral. Lineage: Eukaryota; Metazoa; Chordata; Mammalia; Chiroptera; Vespertilionidae.
AAAAAAAUGCAUGUACAUACACAUACACGCACACACAUGUAUGUGUCAGGUUACUUGGAAAUGCAGCUCAAAAUAGAUGGUAAACUCCAUCUAAGGCUAAAUACUGGCCAAUAGCUAACAAGAACGAUGACAAAAAGUUGAAAAAAACUUUGAAGAAAUGUGUGUGUGUAAAUUUAUAAAUUCUUAUAAAUUGUGUACUUUUCCAUGGUAUGAGUAUGGAUA